UGGGCCCAGAUUCACUAACGCCUCGCAGAUACGACAAUCUUAAGUGGAUCCAAUAUGGCGGAAAUAAGAAUGUCGUAUCUUGCGAUUCCCAAAAGAAUCUUAAGUCCGCCAUGUUUAGAUUUUCCUGCCUUAACGCUGUUUCACACUCCCGCCGACAGACGGCGUAGUAUGAUGUUGACAUAUUUCGUUCAACCAAUGGCAGCGCUCGAUACAUACGUACUCUAGAGACAGUAGCCAAUCACAGGAACCUCAACACCAGUGCAGCAUGUGGCCCGUGACAGAGGCAGACGAUGUUGUCUGCCCCACCGGGAGUACGGAGAUGAAGUGAGGAAGUUCAGGAGACUGAGUGUAACCUGUAAGUGUAGUGGGUGCUACAACACCUAGCAGCCCAUAUGUCCCAGCAGUGGUGCAGCGUCGGACCCUUAAACUUCCAGGCAGGAGACACAAGAUAAAAGAUUCUGAAGAAGCAAGACCAAGCAUAUAUUACUGGAUAGUUUGCAGAAAUGUGUAGAUUUCCUUGAAUCGUCUCAACCAGAAUGACUGCAAUAGCUGGACCUUUACAGGACUUUGUUGAAUAUUGCAGGGCAUGAAAUUCUGUAUUUCUUAUGCAUCACUAAAGGUCUCUUUUGAUUUCUUCAAACAUGUUUUGUAUUUGCAAUUUAUUUAAUUGUUUUCUGUUGGAAAUAACAUAUAAAAAAGAUGUUUAAUAGCAAGCUGUGAAGAAUUGCUCCAAAUAGUACACACCACGGUGCUAUAUGCUUUACAUUUUAUUAAGUGUAUAAUAAGCUCAGCCAUAUUGUCCUGCAGUUAAUUUUUAGUCAGACAAUUUCUCCCCUUUUUUUACAAUUUAAGUUGUGAUUGUGUUCAUGUAUACCAGCAGUUCUUUCUUUAAUUAUAUUAGUAAAGAAGUUUUUAUUAUAUAUAUGAAGUCAGAUUAAGUGACUUUCAAAAGCAAUAUAAUUAAGUCCAUUUAGCCUGUGUCACUCUCAAAGUUAUACGCCUCCGUGGUCUACUGGUUAGCGUGCCUGGCUUCUACUCCGCAGGCCCGGGUUCGAAUCCCGGCCCAGGCAGUCUGCGUGCAGCUCACCCAGCUGUUCAUCCUCCCUCUUGGGCUGGUCGAUAAAUGGAUACCUGGGGAAAUCUGGGGAAGGUAAUCUGUGGUAACCCAGAUAUUACACUGGCCCUGUGUCCCAAGGUAAUGGGGGCUCCCUUCCACCACAGUCUCAAGGGUCAAUGUUACGGAGAUGAGCACCGAGGCCAUGCGCUGCUACUACGUAUCCCCCCAACUUUACUACUCUUACUCUCAAAGUAUAUAAUUGUGUGUUUGUGUGUAUGUGAGUGUGUGUGUGUGUCACAUCCUGGAAAGCCCAAGACUUCUUUCAAAACUCUGAUGACUCGAGAAAGAGUCUGGCUUCCAGCUAUAUCUUGAGAGCCAACAGUCAUCGUGGAAAUUUUCUAGGUAUAGUGGAAUGUGUUUUGACAGUGGGCAGUGCCAUUGUCUUUGAAGAACUCUACCGAGUUCUUAACGAAACACACCCAUACACCAAUUUGCUCGAUGAUUUCCUUUAUUUUAUUGCCAGUACACUAUUUAACACAUUUAAAUAUUUAAUAAUGUAUAUAUCAAUGCCCACUUUUUCAUUAUGUUCUCAACUUGUGCCAGCAACAUAUGAGUCAGUACUUUAGUAAGGUUAGGUUACAUAAAUGAAAAAAGUGCAUAUUUGAGUUAAAAACAGAAACAUUAUUUUCUUGUCAAUACCCAAAAAAUAACUUGAAUUUCAAGGAGAAAGAUUUUUUUUAUAGUCUAUGGACAAAGAACCUUUAUUUUCUGGUUUUAAUGUUGUGCUAUAAGUAGAAAAUGAAGUAAUUAUAUAUUUUUCACUUAACAUGAAAUAAAUAUCAAUAUAUAUAAA
This is a long non-coding RNA of Eriocheir sinensis (Chinese mitten crab), 1910 nucleotides long. RefSeq lists it as uncharacterized. The record is from RefSeq and is a predicted model, not a curated record. The transcript is spliced from 2 exons. Lineage: Eukaryota; Metazoa; Arthropoda; Malacostraca; Decapoda; Varunidae.